RNAcentral lists this ribosomal RNA (263 nucleotides) under uncultured bacterium. RNAcentral describes it as "partial 16S ribosomal RNA". It matches the Rfam family "Bacterial small subunit ribosomal RNA", at positions 29 to 289 of the family's 1533-position model. The record is from RNAcentral.
AUUAACGCUAGCGGCAGGCAUAAUACAUGCAAGUUGAACGGCAGCACAGGUAGCAAUACUGGGUGGCGAGUGGCGCACGGGUGCGUAACACGUAUGCAACCUACCCUAUACAGGCGAAUAACCUUUAGAAAUGAGGGCUAAUACGCCGUAGUAUUACAGAUGGGCAUCUAUUUGUAAUUAAAGAUUUAUCGGUAUAGGAUGGGCAUGCGUCCCAUUAGUUAGUUGGUAGGGUAACGGCCUACCAAGGCUAUGAUGGGUAGGGG